Molecule: non-coding RNA, 88 nt
Organism: Mycena metata
Lineage: Eukaryota; Fungi; Basidiomycota; Agaricomycetes; Agaricales; Mycenaceae
Source: the annotation of a GenBank genome assembly
UCGGACGUGGUGCAUGUGCACGCCCUCUUAACCUAGUAACCCCGGAAUAAGUUGGAGGGAAGCCGGGGUUCGAUUCCCCGCGUCUGAA